GCAGCUUGUGCGCAAGUCAUUGACACAACUGACUACGGUCAACGGCGAAACGAGAGUGCUCUGUGCGCGGCUCUUUUGCCCGCACCUCGCUGAUCCCCACCGCUGCACCGCUGCUGCUGGCGGUGGCGACGGGCGCACAGCGGUGCCGCCGGAUCCGUCGCCGCUAACGUGGCCUUCGGGUCGACCAAGCGAACGGUCCGGCCUGCGGACUCGGAGCGCACACGCUGCUACCCGAAAGAUGGUGAACUAUGCAUGAGCAGGACGAAGCCAGAGGAAAGUCUGGUGGAAGUUCGGAGCGGUGUUGACGUGCAAAUCACUCGCCCGACUUGUGCAUAGGGGCGUAAGUAAAAUUUGUUUCUCGAAUUUUGUUUAGAGGGCGG
Molecule: non-coding RNA, 380 nt
Organism: Trichuris suis (pig whipworm)
Lineage: Eukaryota; Metazoa; Nematoda; Enoplea; Trichinellida; Trichuridae
Source: Rfam